Molecule: ribosomal RNA, 253 nt
Filed under: uncultured bacterium
Lineage: Bacteria
Description: partial 16S ribosomal RNA
Rfam family: Bacterial small subunit ribosomal RNA
Source: RNAcentral
UACGGAGGGUGCGAGCGUUGUCCGGAAUCACUGGGCGUAAAGGGCUCGUAGGCGGUUUGUCGCGUCGGGAGUGAAAUCCACUGGCUUAACUGGUGGCUUGCUUUCGAUACGGGCAGACUGGAGGUAUGCAGGGGAGAACGGAAUUCCUGGUGUAGCGGUGAAAUGCGCAGAUAUCAGGAGGAACACCGGUGGCGAAGGCGGUUCUCUGGGCAUGUCCUGACGCUGAGGAGCGAAAGUGUGGGGAGCGAACAGG